RNAcentral lists this unclassified non-coding RNA (318 nucleotides) under Hevea brasiliensis (rubber tree). Lineage: Eukaryota; Viridiplantae; Streptophyta; Magnoliopsida; Malpighiales; Euphorbiaceae. The record is from RNAcentral.
AGUUCAUACUGUUAGGAGCUGUUCCAUUUCCUACUGAUGUCCCUCGCUUGAAGGCUCUAGGUGUUGCUGGAGUGGUCACGUUGAAUGAAUCAUAUGAGACUUUGGUCUCAACGUCAUUAUAUCUUGAUCAUGACAUCAAUCACUUGGUGAUUCCUACCAGAGACUAUUUUUUUGCACCAUCAGAUGGAGAUAUUGACCGAGCUAUAGAAUUCAUCCACAGUAAGUGUUUUUCACCCAGCUCUUAAGUAAGUAGUGAUGGUAAGAAUCUUUUCCCAGUGUUCAUAUAUCAUGGUUUCAAGUAUAUAUCUUACAUUGCCG